AUUGAACGCUGGCGGCAUGCCUUACACAUGCAAGUCGAACGGCAGCACGGGUGCUUGCACCUGGUGGCGAGUGGCGAACGGGUGAGUAAUACAUCGGAACAUGUCCUGUAGUGGGGGAUAGCCCGGCGAAAGCCGGAUUAAUACCGCAUACGAUCUACGGAUGAAAGCGGGGGACCUUCGGGCCUCGCGCUAUAGGGUUGGCCGAUGGCUGAUUAGCUAGUUGGUGGGGUAAAGGCCUACCAAGGCGACGAUCAGUAGCUGGUCUGAGAGGACGACCAGCCACACUGGGACUGAGACACGGCCCAGACUCCUACGGGAGGCAGCAGUGGGGAAUUUUGGACAAUGGGCGAAAGCCUGAUCCAGCAAUGCCGCGUGUGUGAAGAAGGCCUUCGGGUUGUAAAGCACUUUUGUCCGGAAAGAAAUCCUUGGCUCUAAUACAGUCGGGGGAUGACGGUACCGGAAGAAUAAGCACCGGCUAACUACGUGCCAGCAGCCGCGGUAAUACGUAGGGUGCGAGCGUUAAUCGGAAUUACUGGGCGUAAAGCGUGCGCAGGCGGUUUGCUAAGACCGAUGUGAAAUCCCCGGGCUCAACCUGGGAACUGCAUUGGUGACUGGCAGGCUAGAGUAUGGCAGAGGGGGGUAGAAUUCCACGUGUAGCAGUGAAAUGCGUAGAGAUGUGGAGGAAUACCGAUGGCGAAGGCAGCCCCCUGGGCCAAUACUGACGCUCAUGCACGAAAGCGUGGGGAGCAAACAGGAUUAGAUACCCUGGUAGUCCACGCCCUAAACGAUGUCAACUAGUUGUUGGGGAUUCAUUUCCUUAGUAACGUAGCUAACGCGUGAAGUUGACCGCCUGGGGAGUACGGUCGCAAGAUUAAAACUCAAAGGAAUUGACGGGGACCCGCACAAGCGGUGGAUGAUGUGGAUUAAUUCGAUGCAACGCGAAAAACCUUACCUACCCUUGACAUGGUCGGAAUCCCGCUGAGAGGUGGGAGUGCUCGAAAGAGAACCGGCGCACAGGUGCUGCAUGGCUGUCGUCAGCUCGUGUCGUGAGAUGUUGGGUUAAGUCCCGCAACGAGCGCAACCCUUGUCCUUAGUUGCUACGCAAGAGCACUCUAAGGAGACUGCCGGUGACAAACCGGAGGAAGGUGGGGAUGACGUCAAGUCCUCAUGGCCCUUAUGGGUAGGGCUUCACACGUCAUACAAUGGUCGGAACAGAGGGUUGCCAACCCGCGAGGGGGAGCUAAUCCCAGAAAACCGAUCGUAGUCCGGAUUGCACUCUGCAACUCGAGUGCAUGAAGCUGGAAUCGCUAGUAAUCGCGGAUCAGCAUGCCGCGGUGAAUACGUUCCUGGGUCU
RNAcentral lists this ribosomal RNA (1354 nucleotides) under uncultured bacterium. Its description in RNAcentral is "bacterial SSU rRNA". It matches the Rfam family "Bacterial small subunit ribosomal RNA", at positions 28 to 1381 of the family's 1533-position model. The record is from RNAcentral.